RNAcentral lists this ribosomal RNA (426 nucleotides) under uncultured bacterium. RNAcentral describes it as "bacterial SSU rRNA". It matches the Rfam family "Bacterial small subunit ribosomal RNA", at positions 355 to 772 of the family's 1533-position model. The record is from RNAcentral.
UGGGGAAUUUUUCGCAAUGGGGGAAACCCUGACAAAGCAACGCCGCGUGGAGGAUGAAGACCUUCGGGUUGUAAACUCCUGUCGACCGGGACGAAAGUAGUCCGACCCAAUACGUCGGGCUAUCGACUGUACCGGUGGAGGAAGCCACGGCUAACUCUGUGCCAGCAGCCGCGGUAAUACAGAGGGUGCGAACGUUGCUCGGAAUUACUGGGCGUAAAGCGCGUGUAGGCGGGACGGCAAGUCAGAUGUGAAAUCCCCGGGCUCAACUCGGGAACUGCAUCUGAAACUGCCGACCUUGAGUACUGGAGAGGGCGGCGGAAUUCCUGGUGUAGAGGUGAAAUUCGUAGAUAUCAGGAGGAACACCGGUGGCGAAGGCGGCCGCCUGGACAGUGACUGACGCUGAGACGCGAAAGCGUGGGGAGCAAA